Molecule: non-coding RNA, 75 nt
Organism: Parelaphostrongylus tenuis
Lineage: Eukaryota; Metazoa; Nematoda; Chromadorea; Rhabditida; Metastrongylidae
Source: the annotation of a GenBank genome assembly
GUGUCACUAGUGCAACGGGUUAGAGCACGCGCUCCCGGACUGAGUGAGGAGUGGGUUCGAGUCCCGCCUGAUGCG